CUUUUUUACAUUGGCUAGAGGUAUAGGGGGAGGGUUGAGAUCUCACAAACAUGUUUAACCCCGCCGUAUUUUUGCGCCUGUCCCAAGUCAGGAGCCUCUGGCCUUUGUUAGUCUGGUAUUAUUUUAAUUUUGGUUUCUUGUGUACAAUUUGGAAAUUAGUAUGGCGUUCAUUAUCACUGAACUAGUAUAUAUUUGUUUAGGGGCCAGUUGAAGGACGCCUCCGGGUGCGGGAAUUUCUCGCUACAUUGAAGACCUGUUGGUGACCUUCUGCUGUUGUUUUUUUCUAUGGUCGGGUUGUUGUCUCUUUGGCACAUUCCCCAUUUC
RNAcentral lists this long non-coding RNA (324 nucleotides) under Mytilus galloprovincialis (Mediterranean mussel). Lineage: Eukaryota; Metazoa; Mollusca; Bivalvia; Mytilida; Mytilidae. The record is from RNAcentral.